GGCAGCGGGAGGCCGGCUCCCGUGGCGCAAGCCAUGAGGAAAGUCCCCCCACCUGUCGGACAGGUGACCGGGCGCAAGCCCGGGGCGGGAGACCGUCGGCUCUGGAACAGCAACGACACGUCGUCGCCGGACCGAUGAGGUGUGCGAAUCCCGAGCGAGGCUGGUCGUGCCCCACCAGACGGUGCGGCACGCGGCCAAAGCGAGGGAGAGCUAACCCACCGAGGGCAGUCGCGACCCGGUGACUCCGGGGCGCGCGUUCGUGGACCACAGUUGUGCUCCACACGUGGGCCGUCUGAGACGCCCCACGCAUUCCGUGGGCCAUCUUCGAUGCCCCACGCUUCCGGCGACGGACCGAUGGAACGGCGAAACCUCACCGGUGCAAGGCCGCGUCGACAGGUAGUCCGACGCCGCGCGCAAGCGCUGGACGUGGCCGCUCAGCCGAAUGCUGGCCCGAACAGAAGGGGGCUUACUCCCCGCAGCC
Haloarcula marismortui ATCC 43049 is the source of this 481-nucleotide non-coding RNA. It matches the Rfam family "Archaeal RNase P". Rfam says of the family: Ribonuclease P (RNase P) is a ubiquitous endoribonuclease, found in archaea, bacteria and eukarya as well as chloroplasts and mitochondria. The record is from Rfam. NCBI's taxonomy places the organism in Archaea, Methanobacteriati, Methanobacteriota, Halobacteria, Halobacteriales, Haloarculaceae.